AAGUCGUAACAAGGUUUCCGUAGGUGAACCUGCGGAAGGAUCAUUAAUGAAUAAUCCUUUACGGAUUCAAUCCGUAUCCACCCCAUGUGAACUGUUAACUGUUUUAUGUUUCGCUCAACCAGUAUGGCCUCUUCGGAGCCGUUUCUGGGUGGGCGGACGUAGUAUAAUAAACCUGAUUUUUAACUUGUCUGAAGUAAAUUAAAUAUAAACUUAAUUAAUUACAACUUUCAACAACGGAUCUCUUGGCUCCU
This 251-nucleotide unclassified non-coding RNA is filed under the name fungal sp. RNAcentral describes it as "partial internal transcribed spacer region". The stretch from base 1 to 46 matches the Rfam family "Eukaryotic small subunit ribosomal RNA", at positions 1786 to 1831 of the family's 1831-position model. Lineage: Eukaryota; Fungi. The record is from RNAcentral.